Molecule: ribosomal RNA, 496 nt
Filed under: uncultured bacterium
Lineage: Bacteria
Description: partial 16S ribosomal RNA
Rfam family: Bacterial small subunit ribosomal RNA
Source: RNAcentral
GAUGAACGCUGGCGGCGUGCCUAAUACAUGCAAGUCGAGCGAACGGACGAGAAGCUUGCUUCUCUGAUGUUAGCGGCGGACGGGUGAGUAACACGUGGAUAACCUACCUAUAAGACUGGGAUAACUUCGGGAAACCGGAGCUAAUACCGGAUAAUAUUUUGAACCGCAUGGUUCAAAAGUGAAAGACGGUCUUGCUGUCACUUAUAGAUGGAUCCGCGCUGCAUUAGCUAGUUGGUAAGGUAACGGCUUACCAAGGCAACGAUGCAUAGCCGACCUGAGAGGGUGAUCGGCCACACUGGAACUGAGACACGGUCCAGACUCCUACGGGAGGCAGCAGUAGGGAAUCUUCCGCAAUGGGCGAAAGCCUGACGGAGCAACGCCGCGUGAGUGAUGAAGGUCUUCGGAUCGUAAAACUCUGUUAUUAGGGAAGAACAUAUGUGUAAGUAACUGUGCACAUCUGGACGGUACCUAAGCAGAAAGCCACGGCUAACUACGG